AUUUCUUUCCAGAAGGGGUUGUUGGGCGUUGGAAUGGGCUGCCCAGGGAGGUGGUGGAGUCCCCAUCCCUGGAGGGGUUGAAGAGUCGGGUUGACAUAGAGCUGAGGGACCUGGUGUAGUUGGAAACUGCCAAUGCUGGGUUAAUGGUUGGACUGGAUGAUCUUCAAGGUCCUUUCCAACCUAGNAUAUGCAGGAGACCUCAGCUUCCUAAACAAAACCCUCUUUUUUAUUCCAGCCCCGUGACGCUCACUGCACGUGCCCUCCAGGUUACUGGAGGUCCGUAGGUGAUGGAAGACACUGUGUCAGACAAGCAUAUGAUAUUUGCCGAGAUCCAGCCUCCCGAAAUCAGGAGGGACAGUGUUUAACCAAGAAAGGAUGGGUUCAUUAUUGCUCGGAGAAGGUUUGUACUGUCCCCAGAGAUUAUCAAGGCUAUGACAAGGUUCUUGGCCUCUGCAUUUGUCAACCUGACAGUCUGGAGAGCGUGUGUAAUUCUCAAUGUAGAAGGCAACAAAGAGACACUCUGCAGGUCACCUGUACAGAGAAAAACGCCCAGCUCUUAUUCACUUACAGAAAUGGGAGCAAGACUGCUGUUUUCUUAGAAGAAUUAAGAACAGUUCUACUAAGACCAUAUUUCUCUUUAAAAGACGUCUGCACCUCAGAACAAAGCACACAUACCCAUCCAACAUACAUCGUGAAAAUGAGUGGGAAAGGAUUUUUAGGAGUGUACAAUCCUGACCCACAACUAUUUCACAACUUCAUGAUGCUAAAUGAGGCUUCCUCACAUCACAGAAACAGGCAUUCUUCAGGAACAACUCCAGUUAAGUCUGGCCAUGAAGAACACGGGGUACAAAGCCUGAGACCUUCAAACUCCACAUCGAAAAUCACAUUUACUGGCAUCUUAAAUCCUACCACGUGCAUUAAUGUUAAUGUUACUGUCAUGUUCAUUGUCUCCAAGGAGCACUACCCAGUUUAUGAUGUAAACAACCUGUACAAUACAAAUGCUGAGUUUGACUGGGGAGACUUUCGAAGCCUCAAAGAAGAAAUAAGAGAGGCCUCCCAAGAAUUCCUCUUCUUCCUUUUCCAGUUCCAGAACGCUGGUACCUACGUGCUACGGCUAAGUAGCAAUCAACACAAAAAAAUGUACAUUAGGGUGAUGCCACUUGGAGGACAGUGUUAUGAAGAGGGGCCAUUCUUCCCCACAACACCCAGAUAUGUUGUACAGGUGGGCAUCGCAAAAAAACAAGACCUCCUACUGAAACCUGACUGGACAGCCAUUAUUGGAGUAAUCACAGGACUUCUCAUAUUGCUUAUUGCCUCUGUGGCAUUGACACUUCUUUGUCGGGGACUUAGCUGGGUGCAGAAAGGCACUACCUGCCCUCCAUUUCGACGGCAGCAGUUGAAGUAUAAUCUGGACAGCUAUUCCUCCAACAUAUCAAGACUCUUUUCCAUUAAAAAAUGUCACCCCUCGCUGCAGAACAAAGCCUGCUUCCUGAAGAGGGGUGAUGUUUGGGAGCCUGAAGAACAGAUAGAUCUUGAGUCAUUUAAUACCAAUGUUUUCUUUGAACUUCUGCUGAGACAGUCACUAGCCGUCACAACCAAACUGGGUCAUUUCAAAGAAGAGGUAAAAACUACAUAUCACAAGCUUACAAGUGAAAUAUCUUCAUUGAAAAACCUUUGGAUAAAGACACUGAGUAUCCCAGAAGAGAUGGAGGCUUAUGAGAGCACAAUAACAGAGGCUUACCUAAAAGCAAAACAGCAGGCAGAAGAAGAAAUGCAGCAAAGGAAACAGUUGGCUGCUGAGUAUGAGGAAAGUGUGAACAAACAGCUGCACUUAUUACAGCAUGAUCUGAAAUGUCAGGAAGAGCAUUGUGUCAUGUUCAAUUCUGUCUUGCGAGAGGCGGUGAGAGUGGCAGAGAUGCUGACAAGUAAGGUGGCUUGUAAAGGAAACCAAACAAUGCUGCCCCAGCCAGACUGUACAAGCCUGUUAGCCCAGAUAGAUGCUGCAAGCAGCCAGAUGUCAAGCAUAAUCAUAAAGGAGAGCCAUCGCCUCAAAGCAUGGGGAGUGCUGGGUGAAGGAAUGGGAGCUCACCUUCUUAACAAAGAUCAAACCAGGAUACUUACCAAGCAGGAGCUAAUGGACUCAAACGGCACUUCCCGAGCACCCGACGUUGUCUGCACGGAUCCUGUCACCGGAUUGUUGACUCCCUACCCACGCUGCACCAUGCUGCUGACAAGUCAGUGCCCUGGGCCAGUACCCACCAAUUCUUUUUUGCAUCCUGAGACUGGAAAGGUGCUUCACAUAGCUGGUAACAUCGGGUAUGAUCCCAUCAGAUCCAGGCUGGUCUGUGCUGUUGAUUCUGCUUCAGGUAAGCGUCAUAAGCCUGAAGUGCCAAUAUUUCCCUACAUUCCUUACCCGGUUUGUCCCAACACUGGCCUACCUGUGAAGACAAAACUUCCAGUCCUGUGUCCUGAAAAAAUGUUUGGUAUGGGAGGACUCAUGCUAGAUCCAGCGACAGAAAUAGAAGUUCCAGUGCUCGGGGUUACGAUCCACCCUCACACUGGGGAAAAGCUGACUGUUGGUGGGACAUACCUUAACCCACUUACUGGCAUGUUGACACCUCUGGAGAUCGGGGGCCCUAUGACUGAUCCAGAGGGAGGCAAGAUUGUUCCGAUACUCGGAGUCGGUUUGGAUAGUCACAGCGGAGAAGUUAUACCUCUAGGCGGGCUGGUGGGUCCUUCUGGAAAUCUAAUGCUUCUUGGAGAUUCCUUCACCGAACCCCUGAGUGGGAAAAUUGCCCGGGUACAUGGAGCUCACCUCCGGCAAGACAAGGUGCUGCCCCACAGUGGAAGUUAUCAAGCAGUGUUGGAAGCUGACUGGCUGGUAUCACAGACCCAUGUGGUGAACACUCUAAAGCAGUUCAAGGCAUCUGUUUUGGAAGAUACCUGUCUAGUAGCAGACAGAUUAGCAGCACUAAAGGCUUCAGUAGAAGAUAUGAAGAAGUCUUUCACCACUAGGUUUUAUCAUGCAAUACAUUGCUUGCAAAGCCUGGAGAAAAAACGGGAAAUAGCUUCAAGCCUCAAGAGUAAUGGUGGUAAACUGGGUAUGAUCAAAUAUCCUGGCACAGAGAUGUGGAUCCCUGCAGUGUUUGGAAUGAAAAUCCCAGAUCCUGGUGGGUCCAGUUUGAUGGUGCCAAUUCUGGGAAUAGACUGUGACUGGAAUAGCAGGCAGCCUUCCCCACUCGCAGGAACCAUGGAAGAUAGACAUGGACAAGGCCUUGUCCCCAUCACAAUUGGUGCCAAAACCAUAAGUCCAAUUACAGGUGAAAUUGGGCCUGUUAUAGGUGCUCAGACCAACCCCUGGACACACAAUGUAAUUCCCACUGUUCAGUCUCUUGGAGCUUUACCCAGAAGAGCUACAGAUCCAGAUCUGCUGGACUUUCUAGAAAAGGAAAUAAAUUCAAGGCGUAUAUACUGGCAUAGCAGAAGAAAAAAGGAAGAAGGGCUUCUUAAAAAGCUGAAUUCUCUAUUUCUUCAUGUUCUUGAUGCUGCAAAAGAGGGGAAGGCACAGAAGAUAAAAUACAAGGAAAAAGUGAAAGACAUUGAGGAAAUGUGCCACUUUCUUAAAGGAUCCUCUCUGCAGGAAGCUGAGAGACGAACCUCAAAAUAUUUUAGUAGCCAACUGGCCACCGAACUCUCCUUGCUCUUCAAAGCCGACAGAGAUGAAAGAGAACAGGAAAUGCAGGUUCUGUUGGAGAUCAGAAAGGCGCUGGAGAAGCUGAUGGAGUUUGCUGAAAAGAUGCAACUAGAAGAAGAACGAAUAUAUAUGCAGCUAAUAGAGAGAGAAAAGCACAGGAGCCACAUCUCAAGCACCGAGACAGUGACAAACCUGGAGCUCAGAAAGGUCGUGCUUGCCCUAGCCUCCGAGUCUCAGGAACAUGUACUGAAACAACAAGCUAGUGUGGAGACUGCGUACAGCAAACUGGAAUAUUUGAGGGACCUGUCAAACAUCCAAACACAGCAGACAAAGGCAUUUUUCUCUGGGUCACAACAAUGUUUUGAAAACUAUCAGACAACCAGAUUUUAUGGCAUUAGUGGGAUCUCACGUAGUACAUGCAAGGUCAUCCAGCAAAACCUGAUCUCAUUACUCAAGUCUACGGUUCAGAUGCUGGAGGAAAAUAGCAAAAGCAGUGUAUCACCUGAGACAUCAGGCUACUCCUCAGGGAGCACUUUAAAAGCAUCUGCUGGUCAUUCAGAGACAUUAAGGGCUGAGGCAAGUCAAGAAACUGCUUCAGCUUCCAUAUUAUCACCUGCUCUGCCCACUUCAUAUUCAGAAAGGGCACUCCACGUACAACAAGAAAUCCAGACAAGGUUCUUCCUUGAGAAGCAUGCUUGUGAACUGGCACAUCUGGAACUGUCCUUAUUGAUGGAAGAAAUAAACACUAUCUUUUCCUUCUAUGAAUCAUCCAAGGCUAAGGAAAAGGAAUACCGUAAAGGAAAUUGGGUAAGGUUGGCAUUGCAUCAGCUUAGAGUUCUCAGCUGGUACCCAGGAAAAGAAAG
Molecule: long non-coding RNA, 4557 nt
Filed under: Otus sunia (Oriental scops-owl)
Lineage: Eukaryota; Metazoa; Chordata; Aves; Strigiformes; Strigidae
Description: lncRNA (ENSOSUG00000003598.1)
Source: RNAcentral